This 127-nucleotide small RNA is filed under the name Marmota monax (woodchuck). The record is from RNAcentral. Lineage: Eukaryota; Metazoa; Chordata; Mammalia; Rodentia; Sciuridae.
GCCAGGCAUGGUGGGGCAUGCCUGUAAUCCCAGUGACUCUAGAGGCUGAGGCAGGAGGAUUGCAAGUUCAAGGCCAGCCUUAGUAACUUAGUGAGGCUCUAAUAAACUUAGUGAGAGCCUGUCUCAA